Aedes aegypti (yellow fever mosquito) is the source of this 73-nucleotide non-coding RNA. NCBI's taxonomy places the organism in Eukaryota, Metazoa, Arthropoda, Insecta, Diptera, Culicidae. The record is from Rfam.
CCUGUCAUGGCGUAGUGGUAACGCGCCCCAACUAGAGAUCGGGGAGUCGUGAGUUCGAUUCUCACUGAGAAGA